This 253-nucleotide ribosomal RNA is filed under the name uncultured bacterium. Its description in RNAcentral is "partial 16S ribosomal RNA". It matches the Rfam family "Bacterial small subunit ribosomal RNA", at positions 524 to 776 of the family's 1533-position model. The record is from RNAcentral.
UACAGAGGGUGCGAGCGUUACUCGGAAUUACUGGGCGUAAAGCGCGCGUAGGCGGCUUUGCAAGUCGGGUGUGAAAUCCCCAGGCUUAACCUGGGAACUGCAUUCGAGACUGCAUUGCUAGAGUAUGGGAGAGGGAAGUGGAAUUUCCGGUGUAGCGGUGAAAUGCGUAGAUAUCGGAAGGAACAUCAGUGGCGAAAGCGACUUCCUGGACCAAUACUGACGCUCAGGUGCGAAAGCGUGGGGAGCAAACAGG